CCUUCGAUAGCUCAGUUGGUAGAGCGGUGGACUGUUGUUCCACAGGCCCCUGGUUCGAAUCCAGUUCGAAGCG
Molecule: non-coding RNA, 73 nt
Organism: Toxorhynchites rutilus septentrionalis
Lineage: Eukaryota; Metazoa; Arthropoda; Insecta; Diptera; Culicidae
Source: the annotation of a RefSeq genome assembly